CUCGGCCUGUGGUACAGACCUAUUUAUGCACGACAUUUUGAGUAAAGUAGUUCAAAUUUAAAGCGUUAUCCUUGAUAGCUCUUCACUGACGAAUUUCCUUUCUAGUGCCUCCAUAAGUAACUGAUGACCGGCUAUUUCAUGCCCAUGGUGGCUUAAAUUUUUUAUUGAAGGAAUUCAACAUGUCUAACAUGAUCAAAGGUCAAGUGAAGUGGUUCAACGAGUCUAAAGGUUUUGGUUUCAUCACUCCUGCAGACGGCAGCAAAGACGUGUUCGUACACUUCUCUGCAAUCCAGGAUCAAGGCUUCAAGACCCUGGCUGAAGGCCAGAACGUACAGUUCUCUAUCGAGAACGGUGCUAAAGGUCCGUCAGCGGCUAACGUUACCGCUAUCUAAUCGGCCUCUCGCUGAUUAACAAAAACCCGCCAAGGCGGGUUUUUUUGU
Molecule: small RNA, 440 nt
Filed under: Serratia fonticola
Lineage: Bacteria; Pseudomonadati; Pseudomonadota; Gammaproteobacteria; Enterobacterales; Yersiniaceae
Description: cspA thermoregulator
Rfam family: cspA thermoregulator
Source: Rfam by way of RNAcentral